UGAGCAACCUGCCUUUCAGUGGGGGAUAACGUCUGGAAACGGACGCUAAUACCGCAUAACAUCAUCUGGUGGCAUCACCGGGUGAUCAAAGGAGCAAUCCGCUGAUUUGAUGGGCUCGCGCCCGAUUAGAUAGUUGGUGAGGUAAUGGCUCACCAGUCUGCGAUCGGUAGCAGGACUGAGAGGUGAACGCCACACGUGGGACUGGACGACCGACGG
This 216-nucleotide ribosomal RNA is filed under the name uncultured bacterium. RNAcentral's name for it is "partial 16S ribosomal RNA". The stretch from base 1 to 193 matches the Rfam family "Bacterial small subunit ribosomal RNA", at positions 118 to 311 of the family's 1533-position model. The record is from RNAcentral.